RNAcentral lists this transfer RNA (72 nucleotides) under Heterocephalus glaber (naked mole-rat). It matches the Rfam family "tRNA". From Rfam's summary of the family: Transfer RNA (tRNA) molecules are approximately 80 nucleotides in length. Their secondary structure includes four short double-helical elements and three loops (D, anti-codon, and T loops). Lineage: Eukaryota; Metazoa; Chordata; Mammalia; Rodentia; Bathyergidae. The record is from Rfam by way of RNAcentral.
UGGGGUAGAGCUCAGUGAUAGAGCACUUGCCUGGCAUGCACGAGGCCCUGGGUUUGAUCCUCAGUACUGCAA